Molecule: unclassified non-coding RNA, 202 nt
Filed under: root metagenome
Description: partial contains small subunit ribosomal RNA, internal transcribed spacer 1, and 5.8S ribosomal RNA
Source: RNAcentral
UUUCCGUAGGUGAACCUGCGGAAGGAUCAUUACCUAGAGUUUGUGGGCUUUGCCUGCUAUCUCUUACCCAUGUCUUUUGAGUACCUUUGUUUCCUCGGCGGGUCCGCCCGCCGAAGACACCAAUUCAAACCCUUUGUAGUUGCAAUCAGCGUCUGAAAAAACACAAUAGUUACAACUUUCAACAACGGAUCUCUUGGUUCUG